Long non-coding RNA from Oryzias melastigma (Indian medaka), 289 nucleotides. RefSeq lists it as uncharacterized. The transcript is spliced from 2 exons. The record is from RefSeq and is a predicted model, not a curated record. NCBI's taxonomy places the organism in Eukaryota, Metazoa, Chordata, Actinopteri, Beloniformes, Adrianichthyidae.
AUUGAGCGGUGUGAACCGGAAGUAUAUUGUGUCCAUGGUGACUGUCUGAGGACAAACUGAGGACAUAGUGACAUCUACCGUCCAGGAGCGGCUGUUGCACAUAAAACACAUUGUCUGCUGCUUCAACUCCAGAGCAGAUGGUUGAUUAACGCUCGCUCUCAGGCUGCUGCUCAUGUGGAGCACAAACCCCCAGAGCCACUUUAUAUAAGACAAAAAGAUUCUUCAGUUUUAUUAGAGGAAUCACAGCAGAGACGACCCUGCUCUAAAAUAAAACACUUUCUUACAAUGA